Molecule: ribosomal RNA, 506 nt
Filed under: uncultured bacterium
Lineage: Bacteria
Description: partial 16S ribosomal RNA
Rfam family: Bacterial small subunit ribosomal RNA
Source: RNAcentral
GAUGAACGCUAGCUACAGGCUUAACACAUGCAAGUCGAGGGGUAACGAGAGGAAAGCUUGCUUUCCUUGUCGACGACCGGCGCACGGGUGAGUAACGCGUAUCCAACCUGCCCCCAACUAGGGAAUAACCUUGCGAAAGUAAGACUAAUACCCUAUAAUUUCCUCAGAUGUCAUCUGACGAGGAAUAAAGAUUUAUCGGUUGGGGAUGGGGAUGCGUCUGAUUAGCUUGUUGGCGGGGUAACGGCCCACCAAGGCAACGAUCAGUAGGGGUUCUGAGAGGAAGGUCCCCCACAUUGGAACUGAGACACGGUCCAAACUCCUACGGGAGGCAGCAGUGAGGAAUAUUGGUCAAUGGGCGGAAGCCUGAACCAGCCAAGUAGCGUGCAGGAUGACGGCCCUAUGGGUUGUAAACUGCUUUUAUACGGGAAUAAAGUUAGCCACGUGUGGUUAUUUGUAGGUACUGUAUGAAUAAGGACCGGCUAAUUCCGUGCCAGCAGCCGCCGUAA